RNAcentral lists this long non-coding RNA (418 nucleotides) under Manihot esculenta (cassava). RNAcentral describes it as "long non-coding RNA (MESC_LNC009406)". The record is from RNAcentral. Lineage: Eukaryota; Viridiplantae; Streptophyta; Magnoliopsida; Malpighiales; Euphorbiaceae.
AAGUCUUGCAUAAUACUGGUACUUCACAUCAAAGGGAACAAUAAGUUGAUCAUUCUCUCCACUUCCAUUUAUAUCAAAAGAAGACGACGGGGGCAUUAAGGAAAUUUCCUUUUUCUUCUCGGAAGAAGGAGCAGACCUCUCAUCAGCCCAGAACCUCUUUGGAGCUCGGACAGCAAACUGAGGAGGAGGCCGGCCAGACGACCUGGGUAAAACAGUCUCAGUAGCUUGCCGAAUAGUCCCACCCAUCGGCCGUCCUACCAGCAGGAUCUCCAAAGCACCGUCCAGACUCCUUAGAGGUAACAUCAAAUUUUCAAGAAUUUUGAACUGACCCAUUCUUAUCUCAGGUACUGCAAAAAGUUUCAAAACAGAGACAAGUCAGAAACAAUUCUCCAUCAAGAUGAUAAAAGCAAGAUUAGCC